GCAUUCUUACAGUCUCUGAGGAGGCUCAACAGUUCCAGAUAAUCGUAUCCAGAAUCAACAACUUUCUGGUUUCCAGAAGAAGGACAAAUAUUGCAUUACAGAAGGAAGGACCAUCAUAUGUUUCAGCAAAGAUUCAGUCUGCAGGAGCGCAGUAGACAUUAGAGACACACGCAAAAGAAGAGAAGAGGGGAAAUGUGUUUCAGUGUUAAAGUGAUUGGAAUGAAGAACCGGAAAAUCUGAGCUGACUGCUUUGUUUCAAAUAGAAAUAAAUAAAACAGUAACCUGAAGAGGACUAGUGAGGCAAGAGAAGGAUCAUACAGGCACUAAUUUUAAAGGAUAUUCUGCCUUGCCAUGGGCCUGGAAGCAAUGGAGACAAAGGACUAUGGAUUGAAAUCUGAGACCAAGCUAAAGUAAGCCUUCCCUCCUUAUCCACUGAUUAUCUCAGGUAUUUUGCCAUAAUGACUGUAAGCUCACUAACCCAGUUACUAAAGAGAAUAGCAAUCAUUAUUUGAGGACUUCACUUAUAGGAAAAGGGUAAGUACAUUUACAGUUGUGUUCAAGAGGGUUUUAGCAUGUUACAUACAGUUUAUGACCUUUUUAUUGAUUUUUCGCUCAUAGUUUAAGCAUGGUUGAAGGAGGUGUAGAUAUAUAUUGAAAAAAGGGGCAUAUUUGAAUUUCUUCAGUAAUCUCACAGCACUCCCAAAACUUUACUUGACACAAAACAUUCGCUUUCUACCACACAAUAAUUCAAUUUAUAUUCUUUACCAGACACCAACUAGAUCUCUUACAAUUUUUUCAAUUAUGACACUAGCUGGAGGCAGAAUCAGAUCCCACAGUUAAGGGGCUCAGUCCCAGAGGACCUUCCCCAGCACCUCAAAUGCCAUUUGCAAGUAGUUUAUCUUGAUAUUACUCACAUCUAUCCAAGUUGGCUACAAAGCAGAUGUUCCCAUGACUGUCCUUCCUUCACAGAACUAUUAAACAGUUUACUUACUAGAUUAGCAGUCUGUUACAAAGGGUUUAACUCAGACACAGCCAAAUAGAAAAGGUGCAUGGGACAAGUUAUGAAGGCAAAGAGCAUAAGGCUUCUACUGCCUCUCCAGGAGAAUCUUGCUACUUGCAAUUUAAAUAUUCACCAAUCUCAAAGCUCUUUAAAUCUCAACCUUUACAAAUUUUAGAGAGGCUUUUUUACGUAGGCAUGUUAGCUAAAACACUGACCAUUGAGGAUUUAGCCAAUCUCCAAUUCCUCUUCACUCUCUGGGGUUCAGGGUGUGAAGCUUAAAGAUCUAACCCUCUACUCACAUUUUUGGUUCCUCAGGUAAACAGCUUCCUAUCUUUAGGGAAUUUCAGAAAACACUUCAUUAACAUAACUCAGGUGUGGUUGA
Molecule: long non-coding RNA, 1382 nt
Organism: Fukomys damarensis (Damara mole-rat)
Lineage: Eukaryota; Metazoa; Chordata; Mammalia; Rodentia; Bathyergidae
Exons: 3
Source: RefSeq, a predicted model, not a curated record